UUGCAAGACAUUAUUCGGAGGUUCAAAGACGCUCACAGUAACUUUGAUGACUUCCCAGAAAAGGUUGCUCUGCAGCUGAAUGAUACUCACCCAUCUCUUGCGAUAGUUGAGGUCAUGAGAGUGCUCAUCGAUGAAGAGCAUUUGAGUUGGAGCAGAGCAUGGGACAUUGUGUGCAAGAUUUUCUCUUUUACAACUCACACAGUGUUGCCUGAAGGAUUGGAGAAAAUCCCUGUUGAUCUACUGGAAAGUCUUCUACCGCGC
RNAcentral lists this unclassified non-coding RNA (261 nucleotides) under Hevea brasiliensis (rubber tree). The record is from RNAcentral. Lineage: Eukaryota; Viridiplantae; Streptophyta; Magnoliopsida; Malpighiales; Euphorbiaceae.